Molecule: ribosomal RNA, 729 nt
Filed under: Brevundimonas bullata
Lineage: Bacteria; Pseudomonadati; Pseudomonadota; Alphaproteobacteria; Caulobacterales; Caulobacteraceae
Description: bacterial SSU rRNA
Rfam family: Bacterial small subunit ribosomal RNA
Source: RNAcentral
CGGGUACGCUGUACGGCUAGCCUAUACAUGCAGUCUAACGGACCCUUCGGGGUUAGUGGCGGACGGGUGAGUAACACGUGGGAACGUGCCUUUAGGUUCGGAAUAGCUCCUGGAAACGGGUGGUAAUGCCGAAUGUGCCCUUCGGGGGAAAGAUUUAUCGCCUUUAGAGCGGCCCGCGUCUGAUUAGCUAGUUGGUGAGGUAAUGGCUCACCAAGGCGACGAUCAGUAGCUGGUCUGAGAGGAUGACCAGCCACACUGGGACUGAGACACGGCCCAGACUCCUACGGGAGGCAGCAGUGGGGAAUCUUGCGCAAUGGGCGAAAGCCUGACGCAGCCAUGCCGCGUGAAUGAUGAAGGUCUUAGGAUUGUAAAAUUCUUUCACCGGGGACGAUAAUGACGGUACCCGGAGAAGAAGCCCCGGCUAACUUCGUGCCAGCAGCCGCGGUAAUACGAAGGGGGCUAGCGUUGCUCGGAAUUACUGGGCGUAAAGGGCGCGUAGGCGGACAUUUAAGUCAGGGGUGAAAUCCCAGAGCUCAACUCUGGAACUGCCUUUGAUACUGGGUGUCUUGAGUGUGAGAGAGGUAUGUGGAACUCCGAGUGUAGAGGUGAAAUUCGUAGAUAUUCGGAAGAACACCAGUGGCGAAGGCGACAUACUGGCUCAUUACUGACGCUGAGGCGCGAAAGCGUGGGGAGCAACAGGAUUAGAUACCCUGGUAGUCCACGCCGUAA